This 3007-nucleotide ribosomal RNA is filed under the name Salmonella enterica. Its description in RNAcentral is "23S ribosomal RNA". It matches the Rfam family "Bacterial large subunit ribosomal RNA". Lineage: Bacteria; Pseudomonadati; Pseudomonadota; Gammaproteobacteria; Enterobacterales; Enterobacteriaceae. RNAcentral also lists the same sequence under 2 other names. The record is from RNAcentral.
GGUUAAGCGACUAAGCGUACACGGUGGAUGCCCUGGCAGUCAGAGGCGAUGAAGGACGUGCUAAUCUGCGAUAAGCGCCGGUAAGGUGAUAUGAACCGUUAUAACCGGCGAUUUCCGAAUGGGGAAACCCAGUGUGACUCGUCACACUAUCAUUAACUGAAUCCAUAGGUUAAUGAGGCGAACCGGGGGAACUGAAACAUCUAAGUACCCCGAGGAAAAGAAAUCAACCGAGAUUCCCCCAGUAGCGGCGAGCGAACGGGGAGGAGCCCAGAGCCUGAAUCAGCAUGUGUGUUAGUGGAAGCGUCUGGAAAGGCGCGCGAUACAGGGUGACAGCCCCGUACACAAAAGCGCAUGUGCUGUGAGCUCGAUGAGUAGGGCGGGACACGUGGUAUCCUGUCUGAAUAUGGGGGGACCAUCCUCCAAGGCUAAAUACUCCUGACUGACCGAUAGUGAACCAGUACCGUGAGGGAAAGGCGAAAAGAACCCCGGCGAGGGGAGUGAAAAAGAACCUGAAACCGUGUACGUACAAGCAGUGGGAGCCCCACCACUAAGCCAGUGGUGAACUCCACAUACGCAUCCUUUGCUGAGGAUACGGUUAACGGAGCGAAAGCGACGUUCAACCUCAAAAGAAGCAGAGGGGGCUUAGUGGUGGGGUGACUGCGUACCUUUUGUAUAAUGGGUCAGCGACUUAUAUUCUGUAGCAAGGUUAACCGAAUAGGGGAGCCGGAGGGAAACCGAGUCUUAAUUGGGCGUUAAGUUGCAGGGUAUAGACCCGAAACCCGGUGAUCUAGCCAUGGGCAGGUUGAAGGUUGGGUAACACUAACUGGAGGACCGAACCGACUAAUGUUGAAAAAUUAGCGGAUGACCUGUGGCUGGGGGUGAAAGGCCAAUCAAACCGGGAGAUAGCUGGUUCUCCCCGAAAGCUAUUUAGGUAGCGCCUCGUGAAUUCAUCUCCGGGGGUAGAGCACUGUUUCGGCUAGGGGGCCAUCCCGGCUUACCAACCCGAUGCAAACUGCGAAUACCGGAGAAUGUUAUCACGGGAGACACACGGCGGGUGCUAACGUCCGUCGUGAAGAGGGAAACAACCCAGACCGCCAGCUAAGGUCCCAAAGUCAUGGUUAAGUGGGAAACGAUGUGGGAAGGCCCAGACAGCCAGGAUGUUGGCUUAGAAGCAGCCAUCAUUUAAAGAAAGCGUAAUAGCUCACUGGUCGAGUCGGCCUGCGCGGAAGAUGUAACGGGGCUAAACCAUGCACCGAAGCUGCGGCAGCGACGCUGAUGCGUUGUUGGGUAGGGGAGCGUUCUGUAAGCCUGCGAAGGUGGCCUGUGAGGGUUGCUGGAGGUAUCAGAAGUGCGAAUGCUGACAUAAGUAACGAUAAAGCGGGUGAAAAGCCCGCUCGCCGGAAGACCAAGGGUUCCUGUCCAACGUUAAUCGGGGCAGGGUGAGUCGACCCCUAAGGCGAGGCCGAAAGGCGUAGUCGAUGGGAAACGGGUUAAUAUUCCCGUACUUGGUGUUACUGCGAAGGGGGGACGGAGAAGGCUAUGUUGGCCGGGCGACGGUUGUCCCGGUUUAAGCGUGUAGGUGUGUGUUCCAGGUAAAUCCGGUUCACUUUAACACUGAGGCGUGAUGACGAGGCACUACGGUGCUGAAGCAACAAAUGCCCUGCUUCCAGGAAAAGCCUCUAAGCAUCAGGUAACAUCAAAUCGUACCCCAAACCGACACAGGUGGUCAGGUAGAGAAUACCAAGGCGCUUGAGAGAACUCGGGUGAAGGAACUAGGCAAAAUGGUGCCGUAACUUCGGGAGAAGGCACGCUGACACGUAGGUGAAGUGAUUUACUCAUGGAGCUGAAGUCAGUCGAAGAUACCAGCUGGCUGCAACUGUUUAUUAAAAACACAGCACUGUGCAAACACGAAAGUGGACGUAUACGGUGUGACGCCUGCCCGGUGCCGGAAGGUUAAUUGAUGGGGUCAGCGCAAGCGAAGCUCCUGAUCGAAGCCCCGGUAAACGGCGGCCGUAACUAUAACGGUCCUAAGGUAGCGAAAUUCCUUGUCGGGUAAGUUCCGACCUGCACGAAUGGCGUAAUGAUGGCCAGGCUGUCUCCACCCGAGACUCAGUGAAAUUGAACUCGCUGUGAAGAUGCAGUGUACCCGCGGCAAGACGGAAAGACCCCGUGAACCUUUACUAUAGCUUGACACUGAACAUUGAGCCUUGAUGUGUAGGAUAGGUGGGAGGCUUUGAAGUGUGGACGCCAGUCUGCAUGGAGCCGGCCUUGAAAUACCACCCUUUAAUGUUUGAUGUUCUAACGUGGACCCGUGAUCCGGGUUGCGGACAGUGUCUGGUGGGUAGUUUGACUGGGGCGGUCUCCUCCUAAAGAGUAACGGAGGAGCACGAAGGUUGGCUAAUCCUGGUCGGACAUCAGGAGGUUAGUGCAAUGGCAUAAGCCAGCUUGACUGCGAGCGUGACGGCGCGAGCAGGUGCGAAAGCAGGUCAUAGUGAUCCGGUGGUUCUGAAUGGAAGGGCCAUCGCUCAACGGAUAAAAGGUACUCCGGGGAUAACAGGCUGAUACCGCCCAAGAGUUCAUAUCGACGGCGGUGUUUGGCACCUCGAUGUCGGCUCAUCACAUCCUGGGGCUGAAGUAGGUCCCAAGGGUAUGGCUGUUCGCCAUUUAAAGUGGUACGCGAGCUGGGUUUAGAACGUCGUGAGACAGUUCGGUCCCUAUCUGCCGUGGGCGCUGGAGAACUGAGGGGGGCUGCUCCUAGUACGAGAGGACCGGAGUGGACGCAUCACUGGUGUUCGGGUUGUCAUGCCAAUGGCACUGCCCGGUAGCUAAAUGCGGAAGAGAUAAGUGCUGAAAGCAUCUAAGCACGAAACUUGCCCCGAGAUGAGUUCUCCCUGAGACUUAGAGUCUCCUGAAGGAACGUUGAAGACGACGACGUUGAUAGGCCGGGUGUGUAAGCGCAGCGAUGCGUUGAGCUAACCGGUACUAAUGAACCGUGAGGCUUAACCUU